UACGUAGGGUCCGAGCGUUAAUCGGAAUUACUGGGCGUAAAGCGUGCGCAGGCGGUUUUGUAAGCCAGAUGUGAAAUCCCCGAGCUUAACUUGGGAACUGCAUUUGGGACUGCAAAGCUGGAGUACGGCAGAGGGAGGUGGAAUUCCACGUGUAGCAGUGAAAUGCGUAGAGAUGUGGAGGAACACCGAUGGCGAAGGCAGCCUCCUGGGCUAGUACUGACGCUCAUGCACGAAAGCGUGGGGAGCAAACAGGAUUAGAUACCCUGGUAGUCCACGCCCUAAACGAUGACAACUAGUUGUUGGGGAUUUAACAUCCUUAGUAACGCAGCUAACGCGUGAAGUUGUCCGCCUGGGGAGUACGGUCGCAAGAUUAAA
Molecule: ribosomal RNA, 375 nt
Filed under: uncultured bacterium
Lineage: Bacteria
Description: bacterial SSU rRNA
Rfam family: Bacterial small subunit ribosomal RNA
Source: RNAcentral